This 853-nucleotide ribosomal RNA is filed under the name Staphylococcus pasteuri. Its description in RNAcentral is "bacterial SSU rRNA". It matches the Rfam family "Bacterial small subunit ribosomal RNA", at positions 56 to 890 of the family's 1533-position model. Lineage: Bacteria; Bacillati; Bacillota; Bacilli; Caryophanales; Staphylococcaceae. The record is from RNAcentral.
UGCAAGUCGAGCGAACAGAUAAGGAGCUUGCUCCUUUGACGUUAGCGGCGGACGGGUGAGUAACACGUGGAUAACCUACCUAUAAGACUGGGAUAACUUCGGGAAACCGGAGCUAAUACCGGAUAAGAUUUUGAACCGCAUGGUUCAAUAGUGAAAGACGGCCUUGCUGUCACUUAUAGAUGGAUCCGCGCCGUAUUAGCUAGUUGGUAAGGUAACGGCUUACCAAGGCAACGAUACGUAGCCGACCUGAGAGGGUGAUCGGCCACACUGGAACUGAGACACGGUCCAGACUCCUACGGGAGGCAGCAGUAGGGAAUCUUCCGCAAUGGGCGAAAGCCUGACGGAGCAACGCCGCGUGAGUGAUGAAGGUCUUCGGAUCGUAAAACUCUGUUAUCAGGGAAGAACAAACGUGUAAGUAACUGUGCACGUCUUGACGGUACCUGAUCAGAAAGCCACGGCUAACUACGUGCCAGCAGCCGCGGUAAUACGUAGGUGGCAAGCGUUAUCCGGAAUUAUUGGGCGUAAAGCGCGCGUAGGCGGUUUUUUAAGUCUGAUGUGAAAGCCCACGGCUCAACCGUGGAGGGUCAUUGGAAACUGGAAAACUUGAGUGCAGAAGAGGAAAGUGGAAUUCCAUGUGUAGCGGUGAAAUGCGCAGAGAUAUGGAGGAACACCAGUGGCGAAGGCGACUUUCUGGUCUGUAACUGACGCUGAUGUGCGAAAGCGUGGGGAUCAAACAGGAUUAGAUACCCUGGUAGUCCACGCCGUAAACGAUGAGUGCUAAGUGUUAGGGGGUUUCCGCCCCUUAGUGCUGCAGCUAACGCAUUAAGCACUCCGCCUGGGGAGUACGACCGCA